UCUAUUUAUCCACAGAGCAGACAUAGCAUUGGGAGAACAAUGCAAUCUUCCCCACACUGUCCUGUCAACAUAUUCUAACCCUGACUUUGAGGAACCACCUGUCUUCUUACCUGGUAUAGA
Molecule: small RNA, 120 nt
Filed under: Gopherus agassizii (Agassiz's desert tortoise)
Lineage: Eukaryota; Metazoa; Chordata; Testudines; Testudinidae
Description: TUC338 (ENSGAGG00000004129.1)
Source: RNAcentral